GUGGGAAUUAAAGUGAAAGUCCGGUGCAAAAUUAAUCCUACAUAUAAUUCGAAGUUAGUACUGCUGACUUCCAAUGGUAUAGAGUAGCCAAAUUAUUAGGCAUCUAACUGUAUCAUUCCAUUUCAGAAGCUGUAGAUGUUUUUUCUUCGUCCUCUAGUAGAUAGUGGCCCUCCCAUUGAAUUCUCUCGUCAUCAACUUCAAUAUUUGGGAUGUGGGAAAUGAAAGGCCAAUCUGCACCUUCUUUAUUUGCGCAUCUUUCUUUCGUUCAAUAGGGGACACGAUUUAACUUUCAGUUCUCGUAAAGAUAUUAGGGAACAAAUCUCUCGAGGUAAAGAAGUUAAUCUUGGGCAACCAGUAAUCGUUAAAGUGUGAAGAGAAGUGAGAUUCUGCAAUCCAUCUGACGGUAGAGAUUCGAGUUCCUCAAUCUCCUCAAUCUCAAGAUACUUCAAUUUAGAGAGAGGAGGACUGAUUGAGG
Molecule: unclassified non-coding RNA, 475 nt
Filed under: Hevea brasiliensis (rubber tree)
Lineage: Eukaryota; Viridiplantae; Streptophyta; Magnoliopsida; Malpighiales; Euphorbiaceae
Source: RNAcentral